UUGGAGGGCAAGUCUGGUGCCAGCAGCCGCGGUAAUUCCAGCUCCAAUAGCGUAUAUUAAAGUUGUUGCAGUUAAAAAGCUCGUAGUUGAAUUUCGGGGUUAGUAGGUUGGUCGUGCCUCAGGUAUGUACUGAUCUCACUGAUUCCUCCUUCCUGAUGAACCGUAAUGCCAUUAAUUUGGUGUUGCGGGGAAACUGGACUGUUACUUUGAAAAAAUUAGAGUGCUCCAGGCAGGCCUAUGCUCGAAUACAUUAGCAUGGAAUAAUAGAAUAGGACGUGUGGUUCUAUUUUGUUGGUUUCUAGGACCGCCGUAAUGAUUAAUAGGGACAGUCGGGGGCAUCAGUAUUCAAUUGUCAGAGGUGAAAUUCUUGGAUUUAUUGAAGACUAACUACUGCGAAAGCAUUUGCCAAGGAUGUUUUCAUUAAUCAGGAACGAAAGUUAGGGGAUCGAAGACGAUCAGAUACCGUCGUAGUCUUAACCAUAAACUAUGCCGACUAGGGAUCGGACGAUGUUAACUUUUCUUGACUCGUUCGGCGCCUUACGGGAAA
This 547-nucleotide ribosomal RNA is filed under the name uncultured Glomeromycotina. RNAcentral describes it as "SSU rRNA". It matches the Rfam family "Eukaryotic small subunit ribosomal RNA", at positions 548 to 1097 of the family's 1831-position model. Lineage: Eukaryota; Fungi; Glomeromycota. The record is from RNAcentral.